GAAUUUUAGGUAUUUUCUCGGAUAAAAUUGGAACAAUAUAGAGAGGAUUUAUGUGACCCCUACACAAUGAUGACACACAAAUCGAGAAAUGGUCCAAAUUUUC
This is a small nuclear RNA of Lycium barbarum (goji berry), 103 nucleotides long. NCBI's taxonomy places the organism in Eukaryota, Viridiplantae, Streptophyta, Magnoliopsida, Solanales, Solanaceae. The record is from RefSeq and is a predicted model, not a curated record.